RNAcentral lists this unclassified non-coding RNA (354 nucleotides) under soil metagenome. RNAcentral describes it as "partial contains 5.8S ribosomal RNA, internal transcribed spacer 2, and large subunit ribosomal RNA". The stretch from base 1 to 120 matches the Rfam family "5.8S ribosomal RNA", at positions 35 to 154 of the family's 154-position model. The record is from RNAcentral.
GAUGAAGAACGCAGCGAAAUGCGAUAAGUAAUGUGAAUUGCAGAAUUCCGUGAAUCAUCGAAUCUUUGAACGCACAUUGCGCCCCCUGGCAUUCCGGGGGGCAUGCCUGUCCGAGCGUCAUUUCUGCCCUCCAGCCCGGCUGGGUGUUGGGCGCUGUCCCCCCGGGGACACGCCCCAAAGGCAGUGGCGGCGCCGCGUCGGGUCCUCGAGCGUAUGGGGCUUUGUCACCCGCUCGGGACGGACUCGUCGGCGCUGGUCUUCCUCCAGGCGACCCUUCGGGGCUCGUCUUCCUUCGGUUGACCUCGGAUCAGGUAGGGUUACCCGCUGAACUUAAGCAUAUCAAUAAGCGGAGGA